ACGAACGCUGGCGGCGCGCCUAACACAUGCAAGUCGAACGAGCGAGAGAGAGCUUGCUUUCUCGAGCGAGUGGCGAACGGGUGAGUAACGCGUGGGGAACCUGCCUCAAAGAGGGGGACAACAGUUGGAAACGACUGCUAAUACCGCAUAAGCCCACGGCCAGGCACCGAGCAGAGGGGAAAGGAGCAAUCCGCUUUGAGAUGGCCUCGCGUCCGAUUAGCUAGUUGGCGAGGUAACGGCCCACCAAGGCGACGAUCGGUAGCCGGACUGAGAGGUUGAACGGCCACAUUGGGACUGAGACACGGCCCAGACUCCUACGGGAGGCAGCAGUGGGGAAUAUUGCACAAUGGGGGAAACCCUGAUGCAGCGACGCCGCGUGGAGGAAGAAGGUCUUCGGAUUGUAAACUCCUGUUGUUGAGGAAGAUAAUGACGGUACUCAACAAGGAAGUGACGGCUAACUACGUGCCAGCCGCCGCCGUAA
Molecule: ribosomal RNA, 481 nt
Filed under: uncultured bacterium
Lineage: Bacteria
Description: partial 16S ribosomal RNA
Rfam family: Bacterial small subunit ribosomal RNA
Source: RNAcentral